Molecule: long non-coding RNA, 208 nt
Filed under: Lathyrus oleraceus (garden pea)
Lineage: Eukaryota; Viridiplantae; Streptophyta; Magnoliopsida; Fabales; Fabaceae
Description: Pisum sativum (pea) long non-coding RNA (PSAT_LNC002032)
Source: RNAcentral
AAAGAGUUAACAAAUCCAUUGCAUGCUCACUGAAUCUGCUAUUCAACUCUUAUAAUUGUUUAUCAAUGGUAGUGAAAAUGAUUUCAACUUUAAAGUAAUGUUGAAUUGUGACUUGAUUCUCUUCAAGACGGGAGCGUCCAAAUCUUGUUGUUGAAUGAACAUCAUUAAGAUCAGGAAUCUCAAUACCAUGCUUUUAACAAAAAGAUAC